GCAACGUUCCAGGGGAUAAUUACGCCCUUUUGACCAAUGAAAGUGACCGUUUGAACCAUGCAACGGUUGUUAUUCAUUACAUAAUAUGUCAUGUUUUGUUAAAUUCCAAUGACGUUUGUACAUUUUUAUGCUGUAAAUCCCUGAAAUUCAGCUACAAAAUGUAAGUAAUUGAUUGUACAGUAUUUAGAAUCACGAGAAUACAAAAAUAAAAGUAUAUUCUUGCUUCCACAAUCAAUAAUUUUAUAUUUUCAAACGAUUUCAUUUCAUCAUAUGAGUCACGUUUUAGGAAUAGUGGAUUUGCGUUGGGUUCAUUGUUGGGCCAACAAACCCAGCAACACUAGUUCCAGGCUAUUUGCCUUCGCGCGAAAAUAUGCAAAAUGUUAUUACUCAAAUCAAAUGUAAUUGUAUUUUCA
This is a non-coding RNA of Paramuricea clavata, 413 nucleotides long. NCBI's taxonomy places the organism in Eukaryota, Metazoa, Cnidaria, Anthozoa, Malacalcyonacea, Plexauridae. The record is from the annotation of a GenBank genome assembly.